This 333-nucleotide ribosomal RNA is filed under the name uncultured eukaryote. Its description in RNAcentral is "partial 18S ribosomal RNA". It matches the Rfam family "Eukaryotic small subunit ribosomal RNA", at positions 1470 to 1796 of the family's 1831-position model. The record is from RNAcentral.
CCCUUAGAUGUCCUGGGCCGCACGCGCGCUACACUGUUCGACGCAGCGAGUCUUAACCUUGACCGAAAGGUUUGGGUAAUCUUCAGCAAAGUCGAACGUGAUGGGGAUCGAUCAUUGCAAUUAUUGAUCGUGAACGAGGAAUUCCUAGUAAGUGCAAGUCAUCAGCUUGCGCUGAUUACGUCCCUGCCCUUUGUACACACCGCCCGUCGCUACUACCGAUUGAAUGGUUUAGUGAGAUCCUUGGAUCGGCCCUGUCGCGGCUGGCAACGGCCGCGUCGGCGCGUCGAGAAGACGAUCAAACUUGAUCAUUUAGAGGAAGUAAAAGUCGUAACA